AGGUCAGGUGUUCGUAAUGGGCUAUAUGCACGCAUUACUUCCGCGUUUUGUCUAAGGCCGCGGUCCAGCUUCCGGUCUGGGUGAUUUUAAGCGGAGGUAAACAGUAUUAUGGCAGAGUCGUCAAUAUUUACUCACUGUUUGCGAGUAAAUUAUGGUCAACGAUGUGCAAAUGAUUGUCCGGAUGUGCUCUACAACACCGCAGAGCAAAGCUUGAGAAAGGUUUCAAGUUUUAUGCAUCUUCCUACCUGUGCAAUUAUGAAGGUAACAUUAUGAGAUUCAGAGCUAGAAAAUUUUAUGUGUUACUUCAUCCUGGAGUGGACAUCCGUCAGAAGAUCCAUGCCAUCGUCUGCUAGUUAAUAGCUCCUGUUCUUGUGUGGCUGAGAGUGGGAUAUGCAAACAUUUGGUUGCUUUGCUUUUCCAGACAGCCCAUUACUCUGAAAUGUGUAAUGUGUGUUGUCACAUGAACAAUUGUUUGGAAUGGAUCAAUUAUGUGUUAAGUUCCAUGAAACAGAUGGGUGUUUAUUUAUUUAUUUAAUACGUAUCAGCCCAAAUACCUCUCUAUGCACAAGUUACAGAAGAAGCACCUGAUUCAAGAAAACAACUGAUUCAAUGUCAUUGUUUCUGUUCAUCUGAAUAAAAUAUUUUUUUCAAAAUGUUA
Non-coding RNA from Danio rerio (zebrafish), 658 nucleotides. The record is from RefSeq and is a predicted model, not a curated record. NCBI's taxonomy places the organism in Eukaryota, Metazoa, Chordata, Actinopteri, Cypriniformes, Danionidae.